Molecule: ribosomal RNA, 459 nt
Filed under: uncultured bacterium
Lineage: Bacteria
Description: partial 16S ribosomal RNA
Rfam family: Bacterial small subunit ribosomal RNA
Source: RNAcentral
CCUACGGGAGGCAGCAGUGAGGAAUAUUGGUCAAUGGGCGCGAGCCUGAACCAGCCAAGUCGCGUGAGGGAAGACGGUCCUAUGGAUUGUAAACCUCUUUUGUCGGGGAGCAAAAGACGCCACGCGUGGCGUUCCGAGAGUACCCGAAGAAAAAGCAUCGGCUAACUCCGUGCCAGCAGCCGCGGUAAUACGGAGGAUGCGAGCGUUAUCCGGAUUUAUUGGGUUUAAAGGGUGCGCAGGCGGAAGAUCAAGUCAGCGGUAAAAUUGAGAGGCUCAACCUCUUCGAGCCGUUGAAACUGGUUGUCUUGAGUGAGCGAGAAGUAUGCGGAAUGCGUGGUGUAGCGGUGAAAUGCAUAGAUAUCACGCAGAACCCCGAUUGCGAAGGCAGCAUGCCGGCUUCCGACUGACGCUGAAGCACGAAAGCGUGGGGAUCGAACAGGAUUAGAUACCCUUGUAGUC